This 68-nucleotide transfer RNA is filed under the name Tuta absoluta. RNAcentral describes it as "tRNA-Leu". Lineage: Eukaryota; Metazoa; Arthropoda; Insecta; Lepidoptera; Gelechiidae. The record is from RNAcentral.
GCUAUUUUGGCAGAAAAAUGUGAUGAUUUUAGAAGUCAUUUUAUAUAUAAUUUAUUAUAUAGAUAGUA